CAAGCGAUAGGUAAGGGCAUUUGGUGAAUGCCUUGGCAAUCAGAGGCGAAGAAGGACGUAAUACAUUGCGAAAAGCUCAGGGGAGUUAUGAAUAGGCAUUGAUCCUGAGAUAUCCGAAUGGGGAAACCCGGCCGUAAGGUCAUCAUUAUCUGAAAAGAUAGGGUAAUGAAGCGAACUGAGCGAACUGAAACAUCUAAGUAGCUCAAGGAAAGGAAAUCAACCGAGACUCCGAAAGUAGUGGCGAGCGAAAUCGGACCAGCCAAAAAAGACAUAGGGCGCAAGAAGAACAUUCUGGGAAGGAUGACCAAAGAAGGUGAUAGUCCUGUAUUUAUAAGCAAACUAUGUAAAAACGAGUAGGGCGGAGCACGAGAAAUUCUGUCUGAAGAUGGGUAGACCACUAUCCAAGGCUAAGUACUACUGAUUGACCGAUAGUGAACAAGUACCGUGAGGGAAAGGUGAAAAGCACCCCGAUAAGGGGAGUGAAAGAGAACCUGAAACCGGAUGCCUACAAGCAGUCGGAGGAACAUUAAGUUCUGACGGCGUACCUUUUGUAUAAUGGGUCAGCGACUUAAUUUAUGUAGCAAGCCUAAGCCGAUAGGUGUAAGCGAAGCGAAAGCGAGUGUUAAUAGCGCGAAAAGUUACAUGGAUUAGACCCGAAACCGAGUGAUCUAGCUAUGAGCAGGUUGAAGGUUGGGUAACACCAACUGGAGGACCGCACCCACGCCUGUUGAAAAAGUCGGGGAUGACUUGUAGCUAGGGGUGAAAGGCCAAUCAAACUCGGAAAUAGCUGGUUCUCCGCGAAAACUAUUUAGGUAGUGCGGCAAGCGAAUACCUUGAGGGGUAGAGCACUGGAAGAAUGAGGGGGGAGCGAUCCUUACUAAAUUUUACCAAACUCCGAAUACUCAAGAGUAAUACUUGCCAGACAGACAGUAGGUGCUAAGGUCUAUUGUCGAGAGGGAAAGAGCCCAGACCGUCAAUUAAGGUCCCUAAAUUAUGGCUAAGUGGUAAAGGAAGUGAAUUGUCCAAAACAGUCAGGAGGUUGGCUUAGAAGCAGCCAUCCUUUAAAGAAAGCGUAAUAGCUCACUGAUCUAAUUAAGACGAUUUGCGCCGAAGAUGUAACGGGGCUAAAGCCAUAUACCGAAAUUACGGGUUUGUACUAAGUACAAGCGGUAGCGGAGCGUUCUGUAAGCCUGCGAAGGUGUUCCGUAAGGAAUGCUGGAGGUAUCAGAAGUGAGAAUGCUGACAUGAGUAGCGAAAAGAAGUGUGAGAGACACUUCCGCUGAAAGUCCAAGGUUUCCUGCGUAAAGCUAAUCUGCGCAGGGUUAGUCGGCCCCUAAGGUGAGGCUGAGAAGCGUAGCUGAUGGGAAGCAGGUUAAUAUUCCUGCACCAGCUAGGAGGUGACGGAUUUCAAAGAUUGUAACUGAUUAUUGGAUUUCGGUUGCAGUUCAGAAGUUCCAGGAAAGAGCCCUAGCAUAGACCGUACCCCAAACCGACACAGGUGGACAGGUAGAGAAUACCAAAGCGCUUGAGAGAACUAUGUUGAAGGAACUAGGCAAAAUGCUUGUGUAACUUCGGGAUAAGCAAGCCCCAUUUUUAGGCAACUAAAGGUGGGGGGCACAUACUAGGGGGUAGCGACUGUUUACUAAAAACACAGGGCUCUGCUAAAUUGAAAGAUGAAGUAUAGGGUCUGACGCCUGCCCGGUGCUGGAAGGUUAAGGAGAGAUGUUCACGCAUUGAACUGAAGCCCCAGUAAACGGCGGCCGUAACUAUAACGGUCCUAAGGUAGCGAAAUUCCUUGUCGGGUAAGUUCCGACCUGCACGAAUGGUGUAAUGAUCUGGACACUGUCUCAACCGUGAGCUCAGUGAAAUUGUAGUAUCGGUGAAGAUGCCGAUUACCCGCGAUGGGACGAAAAGACCCCGUGAACCUUUACUAUAGCUUAACAUUGAAUUUGGGUAAUUGAUGUGUAGGAUAGGCCGGAGGCUUUGAGACAGGUACGCCAGUAUUUGUGGAGCCGCUGUUGAAAUACGGCCCUUUGAUUAUUUGAGUUCUAACUCGCCGUUGCGAGGACACUGUUUGGUGGGUAGUUUGACUGGGGUGGUCGCCUCCAAAAGCGUAACGGAGGCUUCUAAAGGUGCCCUCACGACGAUUGGUAACCGUCGGUAGAGUGUAAUGGCAUAAGGGCGCUUGACUGGGAGACUUACAAGUCGAUCAGGUAGGAAACUAGAGCAUAGUGAUCCGGUGUUUCUGUAUGGAAAGGACAUCGCUCAAAGGAUAAAAGGUACUCCGGGGAUAACAGGCUGAUCCCUCCCAAGAGCUCAUAUCGACGGAGUGGUUUGGCACCUCGAUGUCGGCUCGUCACAUCCUGGGGCUGGAGAAGGUCCCAAGGGUUCGGCUGUUCGCCGAUUAAAGUGGUACGCGAGCUGGGUUUAGAACGUCGUGAGACAGUUCGGUCCCUAUCUGCCGUGGGUGUAGGAUACUUGAGAGGAUUUGUCCUUAGUACGAGAGGACCGGGAUGAACAUACCUCUGGUGUACCAGUUGUAACGCCAGUUGCAGCGCUGGGUAGCUAAGUAUGGAAGGGAUAACCGCUGAAUGCAUCUAAGCGGGAAACCCACCUCAAAACUAGGUAUCCCCAUUAAGAUCGUGGUAGACCACCACGUCGAUAGGUCAGGUGUGUAAGCACAGCAAUGUGUUUAGCUAACUGAUACUAAUAAUCUGAUUGGCUUGAUAA
RNAcentral lists this ribosomal RNA (2730 nucleotides) under human gut metagenome. Its description in RNAcentral is "bacterial LSU rRNA". It matches the Rfam family "Bacterial large subunit ribosomal RNA". The record is from RNAcentral.